Molecule: ribosomal RNA, 443 nt
Filed under: Parnassius bremeri
Lineage: Eukaryota; Metazoa; Arthropoda; Insecta; Lepidoptera; Papilionidae
Description: partial 16S ribosomal RNA
Source: RNAcentral
UAUAUUAAAGGGCUGCAGUAUUUUGACUGUACAAAGGUAGCAUAAUCAUUAGUCUCUUAAUUGGUGACUUGUAUGAAGGAUUUGAUGAAAUAUAUACUGUCUCUUUUUGAUUUAUAAAAUUUAAUUUUUUAGUUAAAAAGCUAAAAUUUAUUUAAAAGACGAGAAGACCCUAUAGAGUUUUAUAUUUAUAUAAAUUAAAAUUUUUUAUAAGAUUUAAAAUUUCAAUUUAUAUGAAUAUUUUAUUGGGGUGAUAGAAAAAUUAAAAUAACUUUUUUUACAAUUUUACAUUAAUAAAUGAAUAAAUGAUCCGUAAUUUACGAUUAUAAGAUAAAAUUACCUUAGGGAUAACAGCGUAAUUUUUUUUUUUAGUUCAAAUAAGAAAAAAAGUUUGCGACCUCGAUGUUGGAUUAAGAUAAAAUUUAAAUGCAAAAGUUUAAAAUUUU